GGGCUGUUAGUAAAACCAUUACAUAGUCUUGUCAAGACUAAAUCACAGGUGAAAACCCAGUACACCCCAUCCUCCU
This 76-nucleotide transfer RNA is filed under the name Lepidothrix coronata (blue-crowned manakin). RNAcentral describes it as "tRNA-Asp". Lineage: Eukaryota; Metazoa; Chordata; Aves; Passeriformes; Pipridae. The record is from RNAcentral.